UACGGAGGGGGCUAGCGUUGUUCGGAAUUACUGGGCGUAAAGCGCACGUAGGCGGCUUUGUAAGUUAGAGGUGAAAGCCCGGGGCUCAACUCCGGAAUUGCCUUUAAGACUGCAUCGCUAGAAUUGUGGAGAGGUAAGUGGAAUUCCGAGUGUAGAGGUGAAAUUCGUAGAUAUUCGGAAGAACACCAGUGGCGAAGGCGACUUACUGGACACAUAUUGACGCUGAGGUGCGAAAGCGUGGGGAGCAACAGGA
RNAcentral lists this ribosomal RNA (253 nucleotides) under uncultured bacterium. Its description in RNAcentral is "partial 16S ribosomal RNA". It matches the Rfam family "Bacterial small subunit ribosomal RNA", at positions 524 to 777 of the family's 1533-position model. The record is from RNAcentral.